RNAcentral lists this ribosomal RNA (529 nucleotides) under uncultured bacterium. Its description in RNAcentral is "partial 16S ribosomal RNA". It matches the Rfam family "Bacterial small subunit ribosomal RNA", at positions 355 to 879 of the family's 1533-position model. The record is from RNAcentral.
UGGGGAAUUUUGGACAAUGGGGGCAACCCUGAUCCAGCCAUCCCGCGUGUGCGAUGAAGGCCUUCGGGUUGUAAAGCACUUUUGGCAGGGAAGAAACAGCCUGGGAUAAUACCCCGGGCGACUGACGGUACCUGCAGAAUAAGCACCGGCUAACUACGUGCCAGCAGCCGCGGUAAUACGUAGGGUGCAAGCGUUAAUCGGAAUUACUGGGCGUAAAGCGUGCGCAGGCGGUUCGGAAAGAAAGGUGUGAAAUCCAGGGCUUAACCUUGGAACUGCACUUUAACUACCGAGCUAGAGUACGUCAGAGGGGGGUAGAAUUCCACGUGUAGCAGUGAAAUGCGUAGAGAUGUGGAGGAAUACCGAUGGCGAAGGCAGCCCCCUGGGAUGAUACUGACGCUCAUGCACGAAAGCGUGGGGAGCAAACAGGAUUAGAUACCCUGGUAGUCCACGCCCUAAACGAUGUCAACUAGCUGUUGGGGUUUAUUAACCUUAGUAGCGCAGCUAACGCGUGAAGUUGACCGCCUGGGGA